GGCGUAGGAGAUAUAAAAUGUAUUUAAAGGAUACCAAACCAAAAGGAGGACUAGCCUUGGAAUAUAAACCAAAGUUGAAUAUGCCGACACAUGUGCCGUUUUUGCUGUUAUAGUUUUAAUUACAUAACUGUUUUAUCUUUACGUAUAGACAUUGAGAAGACCAUAUAUAAUAUAUGUGAACUUGGCGUAUUAGUCUUCUAUAGCAGAAAAUACGAUUCAAAGUACUUUUUUUUUUUUUUUUUUUAGUACUCUUGAUUUUUCAACGAACCCGAUACGAAGUAACGCAGUUCCUGAUUCAAAAGCUUUAUCGAGCCAUUCCUUUGUCG
This 326-nucleotide long non-coding RNA is filed under the name Brassica rapa (field mustard). RNAcentral describes it as "long non-coding RNA (BRAP_LNC003858)". Lineage: Eukaryota; Viridiplantae; Streptophyta; Magnoliopsida; Brassicales; Brassicaceae. The record is from RNAcentral.